GGGGCUAUAGCUCAGCUGGGAGAGCGCUUGCAUGGCAUGCAAGAGGUCGACGGUUCGAUCCCGUCUAGCCCCACCA
This 76-nucleotide transfer RNA is filed under the name Pseudomonas aeruginosa. RNAcentral describes it as "tRNA-Ala". It matches the Rfam family "tRNA". From Rfam's summary of the family: Transfer RNA (tRNA) molecules are approximately 80 nucleotides in length. Their secondary structure includes four short double-helical elements and three loops (D, anti-codon, and T loops). Lineage: Bacteria; Pseudomonadati; Pseudomonadota; Gammaproteobacteria; Pseudomonadales; Pseudomonadaceae. The record is from RNAcentral.